GCAUCUGUUGCCUAGAGGCCGAAGGCAGCGGACUCAUAAUCCGCCUUCUUUAAAAGACGUCGCUGGUUCGAAUCCAGCCAGAUGCA
Molecule: transfer RNA, 86 nt
Filed under: Boldia erythrosiphon
Lineage: Eukaryota; Rhodophyta; Compsopogonophyceae; Compsopogonales; Boldiaceae
Description: tRNA-Met
Rfam family: tRNA
About the family: Transfer RNA (tRNA) molecules are approximately 80 nucleotides in length. Their secondary structure includes four short double-helical elements and three loops (D, anti-codon, and T loops).
Source: RNAcentral